GCGGGCGUAGUUCAGUGGUAGAACGUCAGCUUCCCAAGCUGAAUGUCGGGAGUUCGACUCUCCUCGCCCGCUCCA
RNAcentral lists this transfer RNA (75 nucleotides) under Qingshengfaniella alkalisoli. Its description in RNAcentral is "Litoreibacter sp. LN3S51 tRNA-Gly". It matches the Rfam family "tRNA". From Rfam's summary of the family: Transfer RNA (tRNA) molecules are approximately 80 nucleotides in length. Their secondary structure includes four short double-helical elements and three loops (D, anti-codon, and T loops). Lineage: Bacteria; Pseudomonadati; Pseudomonadota; Alphaproteobacteria; Rhodobacterales; Paracoccaceae. The record is from RNAcentral.